UAUUUCCAGAUAUUUGACUUCACUUCUCAAGUGAGUUUCCCAAUAACUCAUGGAGAUGAACCACUAAAUGGUUGGAAAUCCUGAAGAAUAUUGACAGACAGCUUCUAGGUUGUUGCAAAUACUAUUCUUUCAUUACUUUUCCCUAACAAUUUAGCCAAAGCUUCACUCAUAUGUCCUGUUAUGAUGCCUGUCAGAUAUCGUGCUGUUGUCUGGGACACCUCCAUCACAUCACUUCUACAUUAACCUUUAGGUUUUAGCUAAAUGUGCUUCAGUGAGACUUUGUCACGUUCCACUAAAGCAGGUUUGCAUUGAUUAUGCACAAUUAUCUCCUUGCAUCGUGGCUAUUCACCUCUACACACUAGCCCCUACCACAGUGAUUUAUUACCAGCUGAACUGUUCAUAGCAGAAACCUGUUUAUCACUGUCACAUGUGCAAGAAGCAGAUAUGAGUAUCUACAUGAUCAGCGUGCCUUUGUGCAUGUGUGUGCACAUGUGCGCAUAUGAGGGUAUUUAACCUGGGGUUAGAUGAAGGUAUGUAGGCUUAUGUAUGUUCCUGAUUAACUCCGUCAAGUCUAUUUUCAACUCCUUACCAAUGAUCAUUACUUUCCUGUUUUACACCAUUUCUAAUGCAAAAAUUGGUCUUUGCAGAAAUCUCUGUAGAUCCUAAAGUAACUCUAUUGAUCACGUUCAACCUGCAUCUAUAUAAGGUCAUUGAAGAUGUUCUUAAGGAAGCAAGACAAUUAAUCAGAACUUGAGUUAAUUAAAGAUUCACUAUGACACUAGAAACCUUCAGAAAUGAUGGAAGGAUCCUGGAAAAUAGGGGCAUUUGAGUUUCAGAAAAUAUAUUCUUCUAGAGUUUCUCUGUGUUUCAGAUAUAACUAUGAUUUUCCUUUUUAAUGAAAUACUAAAGAAAAAAACAAUGAGGUAAAUGUUUUUGAGAGGAUUUAUAUUUUAUUGGCUAAUAUGUAUACUGUUACAGAAUGAAAAUAAAAGAUUCCAGCAUUGCUGCUGCCCUCCUUCACCUGAAGCUACAGAGGGCAAAUGGGAGGAAACUGUGCAAUGCAUUUUAAUAGGAUUAGGCAACUCAAAAGAUAGUUUAACUUUUAACAGAGAAUGAAUUUGUACUCUUUUGUGUCUUUUGCAUCUUUGGCUCAUUAGUU
Long non-coding RNA from Gallus gallus (chicken), 1159 nucleotides. The record is from Ensembl. Lineage: Eukaryota; Metazoa; Chordata; Aves; Galliformes; Phasianidae.